Molecule: small nuclear RNA, 104 nt
Organism: Juglans regia (Persian walnut)
Lineage: Eukaryota; Viridiplantae; Streptophyta; Magnoliopsida; Fagales; Juglandaceae
Source: RefSeq, a predicted model, not a curated record
GUAUCACAAUUUUGGGGACAUCCGAUUUGGAACAAUACAGAGAAGAUUAGCAUGGCUCUUGCGCAAGGAUGGCACGCACAAAUCGAGAAAUGGUAUCAGAGCCU